RNAcentral lists this unclassified non-coding RNA (356 nucleotides) under Hevea brasiliensis (rubber tree). Lineage: Eukaryota; Viridiplantae; Streptophyta; Magnoliopsida; Malpighiales; Euphorbiaceae. The record is from RNAcentral.
UAACUUAAUAAUCUUAAAGCAACUUUAAUUGAAUCGAUGAAAGAAUUUUAUGACAACAAUAAUCUCAGUAUCACAUUAGUAAUUUCAUGCUUUGUACAAGAAUUUAAGAGACCCAAUAACAUAAUUAAGAAUCAAUAGUUAACGAUGGUCUCGAAACAGUUGAGACCAUCAAGCUCCAGUGCAAACCUUGGUGCCUUGCAUGGUGGUUGUUCCGAUCUUUUGUCGGCUGUCGAUGGUGAAGAUGAGCUUUGCUCCGAUUUCUUGAUUAAAUUAUGCAUAGUUACAGAAGCAAAAGAGAACCUGAUAGUUUGACCUAAGAAUUCAGCACAAAAUGCAUCGAAGGAGCUAAAGAUGGA